This 301-nucleotide ribosomal RNA is filed under the name uncultured bacterium. RNAcentral describes it as "partial 16S ribosomal RNA". It matches the Rfam family "Bacterial small subunit ribosomal RNA", at positions 509 to 807 of the family's 1533-position model. The record is from RNAcentral.
CAGCAGCCGCGGGAAAACGUAGGUGGCAAGCGUUGUCCGGAAUUAUUGGGCGUAAAGGGCUCGCAGGCGGUUUCUUAAGUCUGAUGUGAAAGCCCCCGGCUCAACCGGGGAGGGUCAUUGGAAACUGGGAAACUUGAGUGCAGAAGAGGAGAGUGGAAUUCCACGUGUAGCGGUGAAAUGCGCAGAGAUGUGGAGGAACACCAGUGGCGAAGGCGACUCUCUGGUCUGUAACUGACGCUGAGGAGCGAAAGCGUGGGGAGCGAACAGGAUUAGAUACCCCCGUAGUCCCUGUCUCUUAUAC